This 77-nucleotide transfer RNA is filed under the name Candidatus Altimarinota bacterium. RNAcentral's name for it is "tRNA-Asp". It matches the Rfam family "tRNA". Rfam says of the family: Transfer RNA (tRNA) molecules are approximately 80 nucleotides in length. Their secondary structure includes four short double-helical elements and three loops (D, anti-codon, and T loops). The record is from RNAcentral. Lineage: Bacteria; Candidatus Altimarinota.
GGUGCUGUAGCUCAGUUGGUUAGAGCGCUGCCCUGUCACGGCAGAGGUCGCGAGUUCGAGCCUCGUCAGCACCGCCA